Molecule: long non-coding RNA, 13568 nt
Filed under: Medicago truncatula (barrel medic)
Lineage: Eukaryota; Viridiplantae; Streptophyta; Magnoliopsida; Fabales; Fabaceae
Description: long non-coding RNA (MTRU_LNC000787)
Source: RNAcentral
AUGGACUGAAGCCAACAACCUGCAUGCUUUUAGACGCAUCAACUGGAGGUACCAUGAAGAACAAAUUUGCAGCUAAAAUCCGAGAGCUCAUCGACAACAUGUCCUUGAACGAAUAUCGUCCUCAAAGCGAGAAUAGGGAUGUGGUAAAGAAGCAGGGAGUUCUAAGCUUGGAAACAUGAUGCAUUACUAGAAAGCAACAAACUCCUCAAUUACAAGAUCAAACUAGCUAAGAGAUGGAAGUGCAAGAAGUAGCAAAGUUGUCUAUCAAUAGUGUAAGCUAUGACUUUUGUGAGCACGCUCAUGAAAGUGGUGCAUGUCUUCCAACAAGUUUGAGGUUAUCUGAAGAACAUGUCAUGUAUAUGGGUGCAUAUACCAGACAACAACAAAUUCCCUACUCUAACAAUUUCAACUUCGGCUAGCCAACCCGUCAAAAUUUCUCUUGGGAAGUGAUGACAGGUCAUCUUAACUUGGUAAGGUUUGAAACUAAGUUUGAGGUUGCUUUUUGGAAUUAAUAACAUUUUAAGUUUUGGGUGGGGUACCAGUAGAGCUCAUUCAUCUGAAAAAAAAUGAAAAAAAAUAUAGAUUACCAUGGGUCUACAAACAAAAAAUAGAAAGAAAAAAAAAUCAAGAGCCAAAAACAUUAAAAAAAAAAAAUUGUCUCUUCAAAAAAAUAUGUUUAUUUAGAAAAAGAUAAAUAGUUAUAUUUAGUACAAAUCUUGUUUAAUUCAAGGAAGGAAUAUUGACAGUGCAUCAAUGUUUAGUAGAAAUCUUUGUUGGAACAAAAUGUGUUUCACAAUGAACCUUAUUAAGUUUUGAUGAUAACAAGGUAUUAAAAAUUGUCAAUUGGUUAUUACUAAUAACUGUUCAAGUGUACAGGACCAAAGGCUACUCAAGUUAUUUCAAUAGGUCUUGGAAGAACAAUGGAAAGAAAAAGAAAUUCUGAGCAUCUGAAGAAAACUGCUCCUGAAGCUAAACUGCUCCUGAAGAGAUGACGUCAUCAGAAGCAGAAAGUCAUCAGAAGCAGAAAGUCAUCAGAAGCAAAAGUUUUCAUCAGAAGCAAUAUCUUCACCAGAAGCUACAUUUGAUCCUUUAAUCAAACUGAAGAUUCAAAGUUGCUGAUUCUCAAUUCAGUCUUAUCAAAGAAGAACGAAGAACUGAAAGGGAGGUAUCAACGGAUAUAUGGAUAACACUGAGCACUUGUCUCUCAUUAAUAGAGUUGACAAAGUACAAGUGUACAACCACUACCUCCACUACUCUGUUUUUUGUCUACGCUACAAGACAAAACAACAGCCAUGCCUGCAGAAUUUGUACACUCAAGAUGGGAAUGAAUUUGAAGUUUAUUCUUCAAAGGACUACACCCAAAUCAGGCAAAGGAUCACUGGUGGAUAAUCAAAGGAUUUCAAACGACUCUUUAGACGUGCUGAUUAUCUCAACGUCUCUUUCACGCCUCUAUAUAAAGGAGUGAAGACUUGAAGAUAAAACAGAGAUAUACACAAGUUCAAAAGCGCCAAAACUCUGUCAAUUUGAUACUACAAAGCACACUGAAUUUCUGCACUGAUUUGAUACAUCUUAGAAAUUCAUAGUCUAGAGUCUUUUCUGUAUUGUAUUGUGAACACCACUGAUUGUAUAUCAAGUGUUCAAUUCAAACUCAAUUCUCUGUAUUUUUUGUUUGAUUAGAAGUCUCUUGCCUGCGUGCUUGAGCAUUAGAAGUCUCUUGCUUAGUGCUUGAGCAUUGGAAGACUCUUGCGUGUGUGCUUGAGCAUAGUUUUGUGAAGUCUCAUACUUAGAAAGUAUUGAGCAGUUGUAAUCUUGUGAUUAUAGUGAAAUCUCCUUGGAAGUGCAAGGGGGACUGGACUACUUCCGUGUUGUGGAAGGAACCAGGAUAACUGCUUGUGUCUUUGUCUUUCUUUUCUCUGCUCUGUUCUUUCCGCUGCAUAUCUGAUUCUGAUCAUUUCAUCAGAAGCACUCUCAAACUGCUUCUGAAGUUUUAUCAGAAGAAGGAUUUUUUUUAGACAGAAAAAGAAAACACAAUUCAACCCCCCCUUCUUGUGUUUUUCUCACCUUCAAUUGGUAUCAGAGCUUGCUCUGUUAUCACAGCACUUAACCGUGUUACAGUUCAAGAUCUAUUAGAAAAACAUGUCUGGAGAUGAGGAAUCAGUUACUCCAAAAUACACAAGCGUCAAGCAUGACUAUGAUACUGCUGACAAGAAAACAGACUCUGGAAAAGCUCCAAGGUUUAAUGGAGAUCCAGAAGAGUUUUCUUGGUGGAAAACUAAUAUGUACAGCUUUAUCAUGGGAUUAGAUGAAGAGUUAUGGGACAUACUGGAAGAUGGAGUUGAUGACCUGGAUUUAGAUGAAGAAGGAGCUGCUAUAGAUAGAAAAAUACAUACUCCUGCUCAGAAGAAGCUUUAUAAGAAACACCACAAGAUAAGAGGAAUCAUUGUGGCUUCUAUACCUCGCACCGAAUACAUGAAAAUGAGUGACAAAUCUACUGCGAAAGCUAUGUUUGCUUCUCUUUGUGCAAACUUUGAAGGCAGCAAGAAAGUAAAAGAGGCUAAAGCUUUGAUGCUAGUUCAUCAGUAUGAACUUUUCAGAAUGAAGGAUGAUGAGAGUAUAGAAGAAAUGUACUCAAGAUUUCAAACUUUAGUUUCUGGAUUGCAAAUACUGAAGAAAAGCUAUGUUUCUUCUGAUCAUGUUAGUAAGAUUUUGAGAAGCCUACCUUCAAGAUGGAGACCCAAAGUAACUGCUAUUGAGGAAGCUAAGGAUCUAAAUACUUUAAGUGUUGAAGAUCUUGUUAGCUCACUCAAAGUGCAUGAAAUGAGUCUAAAUGAGCAUGAAACCUCUAAGAAGAGUAAAUCCAUUGCUUUACCAUCUAAAGGAAAGACCUCAAAGUCUUCCAAAGCCUACAAAGCCAGUGAAUCUGUAGAAGAAUCACCUGAUGGAGAUUCUGAUGAAGAUCAAUCUGUAAAGAUGGCUAUGCUGUCCAACAAGCUUGAGUAUCUGGCAAGGAAGCAGAAGAAAUUUUUGAGCAAGAGAGGUAGCUACAAGAACUUCAAGAAAGAAGAUCAGAAGGGAUGCUUCAAUUGUAAGAAGCCUGGUCAUUUCAUUGCUGAUUGCCCUGAUCUUCAGAAGGAGAAGUUUAAAGGCAAAUCCAAGAAAUCAAGCUUCAACUCCAGUAAAUUCAGAAAGCAAAUCAAAAAGAGUUUGAUGGCAACCUGGGAAGAUUUGGAUAGUGAAUCUGGUUCUGAUAAAGAAGAAGCUGAUGAUGAUGCUAAGGCAGCCGUUGGGUUGGUAGCAACAGUAUCAUCAGAAGCAGUAUCAGAAGCUGAAUCAGAUUCAGAAGAUGAAAAUGAGGUAUAUUCUAAAAUCCCUAGACAAGAACUUGUUGAUUCUCUAAAAGAACUUUUAUCACUGUUUGAACACAGAACCAAUGAGUUGACAGAUUUAAAAGAAAAAUAUGUUGAUUUGAUGAAACAACAAAAGUCAACUCUAUUGGAACUAAAAGCUUCUGAAGAAGAACUCAAAGGGUUUAACCUCAUAUCAGCAACAUAUGAAGAUAGACUCAAGAGUCUUUGUCAGAAGCUACAAGAAAAAUGUGAUAAAGGUUCAGGCAAUAAACAUGAGAUUGCCUUGGAUGAUUUUAUUAUGGCUGGAAUAGACAGAAGCAAAGUUGCUUCUAUGAUCUACAGCACAUACAAGAACAAAGGCAAAGGGAUUGGAUAUUCUGAGGAGAAAUCCAAAGAAUACAGUCUCAAGAGCUACUGUGAUUGUAUCAAGGAUGGAUUGAAAUCCACCUUUGUGCCUGAAGGUACAAAUGCUAAAACUGCUGUUCAGUCAAAACCUGAAGCUUCAGGUUCACAGGCUAAGAUCACAUCAAAGCCAGAGAAUCUUAAGAUCAAGGUAAUGACAAAAUCUGAUCCUAAGAGUCAAAAGAUUAAAAUUCUGAAAAGAUCAGAACCUGUUCAUCAGAAUCUGAUUAAACCAGAAUCUAAAAUUCCAAAACAAAAGGAUCAGAAGAACAAAGCAGCUACUGCUUCUGAGAAAACAAUACCAAAAGGUGUCAAACCUAAAGUAUUGAAUGAUCAGAAGCCACUCAGCAUUCACCCUAAGGUACAAGGGAGGAAAAGUAAAACCUCCAAAGCUAACCCAAAAGGACCCAUGAAGAUAUGGGUACCUAAAUCUGAAUUGGCCAAAAAUGCAGGUGUGCUUAAGGGCAAGAGAGAAACAAAGGUCAUGGUACCUAGACAGCGGAUGUUCAAGGCACAUGACUGGAGAGAAAGCUUUGUUCCUUACCCUUACAAUGAAAGAUGGAGGAGAAGUGAAGUUUGGUGGCAACCAAACUGGAAAGAUCAUUGGUACAGGUACUAUUGGUAAUUCCUCCAUCUCAAUUAAUAAUGUGUGGCUAGUAGAUGGUCUGAAGCAUAACCUAUUGAGCAUAAGUCAAUUUUGUGACAAUGGGUAUGAUGUAACGUUCAGUAAGACCAACUGCACACUAGUUAACAAGGAUGACAAAUCCAUUACAUUCAAGGGAAAGAGAGUUGAGAAUGUCUAUAAAAUAAAUUUCUCUGAUCUGGCUGAUCAGAAGGUAGUUUGCCUUCUGUCAAUGAAUGAUAAAAAAUGGGUAUGGCAUAAAAGGUUGGGACAUGCUAAUUGGAGAUUAAUUUCUAAAAUUAGCAAGUUACAACUGGUCAAAGGAUUGCCUAACAUUGAUUAUCAUUCAGAUGCACUUUGUGGUGCAUGUCAGAAAGGGAAAAUUGUGAAAAGUUCGUUCAAAUCUAAAGACAUUGUAUCAACCUCCAGACCCUUAGAAUUACUCCAUAUUGAUCUUUUUGGUCCAGUUAACACUGCAUCCUUAUAUGGAAGUAAAUAUGGAUUAGUCAUUGUUGAUGAUUACAGCAGAUGGACUUGGGUAAAAUUCAUUAAAAGUAAAGACUAUGCAUGUGAAGUGUUUAGCAGCUUCUGCACUCAAAUACAAUCUGAAAAAGAAUUGAAAAUUUUGAAAGUCAGAAGUGAUCAUGGUGGAGAAUUUGAAAAUGAGCUAUUUGAACUUUUUUGUGAAAAACAUGGGAUUCUCCAUGAGUUUUCUUCUCCUAGAACUCCACAACAAAAUGGGGUUGUAGAGAGAAAGAACAGAACCUUACAAGAAAUGGCCAGAACCAUGAUCCAUGAAAACAACUUAGCUAAACAUUUUUGGGCAGAAGCAGUCAAUACUUCUUGUUAUAUUCAAAAUAGGAUCUAUAUCAGACCUAUGUUGGAGAAAACAGCUUAUGAACUCUUUAAAGGAAGAAGACCCAAUAUCUCUUACUUUCAUCAGUUUGGAUGUACCUGUUACAUCUUAAACACUAAAGACUAUCUGAAGAAAUUUGAUGCCAAGGCUCAAAGAGGAAUCUUUUUAGGUUACUCUGAAAGGUCAAAGGCAUACAGAGUGUAUAAUUCAGAAACACAAUGUGUUGAAGAAUCUAUGCAUGUAAAAUUUGAUGAUAGAGAGCCUGGAAGUAAAACUUCAGAGCAAAGUGAAAGUAAUGCAGGUACAACUGAUUCUGAAGAUGCAUCAGAAUCUGAUCAACCUUCUGAUUCUGAAAAGUAUACAGAAGUUGAAUCUUGUCCAGAAGCUGAAAUCACUCCAGAAGCUGAGUCUAAUUCAGAAGCAGAACCUAGCCCAAAAGCACAGAAUGAAAUUGCUUCUGAGGACUUUCAAGAUAACACUCAGCAGGUUAUUCAACCUAAAUUCAAGCACAAAUCUUCACAUCCUGAGGAGUUAAUCAUUGGAAGCAAAGAUAGUCCUAGAAGAACAAGAUCACAUUUUAGACAAGAAGAGUCUUUAAUAGGACUGCUUUCAAUAAUUGAGCCCAAAACUGUUGAAGAAGCUCUCUCAGAUGAUGGAUGGAUAUUAGCUAUGCAAGAAGAGCUAAAUCAAUUCCAAAGGAAUGAUGUGUGGGAUCUGGUACCCAAACCUUCUCAGAAGAACAUUAUUGGAACAAAAUGGGUAUUCAGAAACAAGCUGAAUGAACAAGGAGAAGUAACCAGAAACAAAGCCAGACUUGUUGCUCAAGGCUACAGUCAACAAGAAGACAUUGAUUACACUGAAACAUUUGCUCCAGUUGCAAGAUUGGAAGCAAUCAGGUUACUUCUAUCCUACGCAAUUAAUCAUGGCAUAAUAUUAUAUCAAAUGGAUGUCAAAAGUGCCUUUCUUAAUGGUGUCAUUGAAGAAGAAGUGUAUGUUAAACAACCUCCUGGGUUUGAGGAUCUUAAGCAUCCUGACCAUGUUUAUAAACUUAAGAAAUCACUAUAUGGCUUGAAACAAGCUCCCAGAGCUUGGUAUGAUAGACUAAGUAAUUUCUUAAUUAAAAAUGAUUUUGAAAGAGGACAAGUUGACACAACACUCUUCAGAAGGACUCUUAAGAAAGAUAUUUUGAUUGUGCAAAUAUAUGUUGAUGAUAUAAUAUUUGGUUCUACUAAUGCAUCUCUUUGCAAAGAAUUUUCUAAGUUAAUGCAGGAUGAAUUUGAAAUGAGUAUGAUGGGAGAAUUGAAAUUCUUUCUGGGAAUUCAAAUCAUCCAAAGUAAAGAAGGAGUAUAUGUUCAUCAAACAAAAUAUACAAAGGAGCUUCUGAAGAAGUUCAAGCUAGAAGACUGUAAAAUGAUGAACACUCCAAUGCAUCCAACCUGCACCUUAAGCAAAGAAGAUACUGGAACAGUAGUAGACCAGAAGCUUUACAGAGGUAUGAUUGGUUCUCUGUUAUACCUCACUGCAUCUAGACCUGAUAUUUUAUUCAGUGUAUGCUUGUGUGCAAGAUUUCAAUCAGAUCCUAGAGAAUCUCAUUUAACUGCAGUUAAGAGAAUCUUCAGGUAUCUGAAAGGAACAACUAAUCUUGGACUCCUGUAUAGGAAAUCCCUAGAUUAUAAGUUGAUUGGAUUCUGUGAUGCUGAUUAUGCUGGUGAUAGGAUUGAAAGAAAAUCAACCAGUGGAAAUUGUCAAUUCCUGGGAGAGAAUCUGAUAUCCUGGGCAAGCAAAAGACAAGCAACUAUUGCUAUGUCUACAGCGGAAGCAGAGUACAUUUCAGCUGCAAGUUGUUGCACACAACUACUUUGGAUGAAACAUCAGUUGGAAGACUAUCAGAUCAAUGCUAACAGUAUUCCCAUUUAUUGUGAUAAUACUGCUGCUAUUUGUUUGUCAAAGAAUCCAAUUCUACAUUCAAGAGCCAAGCAUAUUGAAAUCAAACACCAUUUUAUCAGAGACUAUGUUCAAAAAGGAAUUUUAGAUAUACAAUUCAUUGAUACUGAACAUCAAUGGGCUGACAUAUUUACAAAACCUUUGUCUGUUGAAAGAUUUGAUUUUAUUAAGAAAAAUUUGAACAUGCAUUUUGUGUCUGAUUGAAAAAUUGCUUGCCUCUGAAUAAGAAGUUUGGUUCUGAAGUUUAUUCAGAAGCAUUUUGGUUCAUCAGAAGCUCUUAAUUGAGGUUCUGAGGAAAAUGUGCUUCUGAAGAUGACGUCAGCACUAAAACUUCAGAAGUGUUAUUCUUUGCUUCUGAAUAGCUUGGUUAGUGGGAACGGUGGAAGUUACUUUAUGUAACAGCUGUCUCAUUACCCAAAAGGUAGUUUUCUGAAGAGUCUCUGACGUGGUUUAUUUGUAUUGGAGUAUAACAAAAAGGGCAAUGAUGUUUUUAUUCGCUUUUUAACGUACUUACACGCGCCCCCAAUUUGUCAUUAAUGCUGUGUUUGUUUGUCCCCUCUGAAUUACAAACGUUUUAAUAAAAACACUAAGUCAUUUCACACACUUCUCACUUCACAACAAACACUUUCUAUUUUCUUCUCAACCCUCUGCGAACGUAAGCGCAUUCUCUCAUCCUCUCAAAACACUUUAGAACCCUAAAACCACUUCAUAUCAAUGGCAUCUUCAAGUUCUGCCGGUGGUUCUUCAUCGAAUAUGGAUAUAGAUACUCCUGCUUAUGAAAUCAAAGGAAGAACUAUGUCGAUUGAGGAAUGGGAUCUAAUCAUUCAAGCGGAAAAUCCAGUGGAUUUCACUUCUCUAACUCAUCAUGGAUGCGACUUGGUAAGAUUCUACAAGAAGCAGAAGCUAAUGAGUUACUUCAGUCUUCUCAACGGUCCUACUUAUGAAGUGCUUGUCAGACAAUUCUGGGUAAGAGCUUCAGUGUUUGACAAAGUUGCUGCUAAACAGGAAGAAGCUCAGAUGAUUCUGGUUGAUCCUACUUUGGAGGGAAAAACCAGAGAAGAAAUGGGUCUACUCGCCUUCACUGGGACUGAGAUUAGAUCAAACGUCAUGGGGAUUCCUGUAACAAUCAAUGAGCAUGUGAUUGCUCAAGCCAUGAGAAGGGAUGCUUCUGGGACAUACGAUGGAGAAGAAAUUCCUAACCCCAGAACAAGCCCAUGGAAGGAGAUAGUAAACAACACUAUCUACGGAUCAAAGGAUGCUAAGCCUUACAGCACCUUAAGCAUGGAAAAGAAAAUGCUGCUGAAGAUCCAAAAUGAAAACAUUUUUCCCAAAGGUGGAGGAAAUGAUCAACCUUCACUUGGUCACAAAGUCUUUCUGCAUCACACCAUCUCUCAGGAAACAACAAUGAAUGUUCCCAAGUAUAUGUUUAAAUACAUGAUCAAGGAACUCAAGAAGAGCCAGAUGGAGAACAGGAAGUUUGUUCCUUAUGGAAGGCUGCUCUCCAUAAUCUUCCAAGAAGGAGGACUCCUAAGUGCCCUGAAAGAUGUGGGUAUUUAUGAUAAUCAGAAGCUGGGAGCAGUCACAGGAAAAAUAAUCAAUGGGGCAACCUUAGUCAAGAUGAGGCUGAUUUCAACAUGCAGCAAACUAGAUACAGAUAUGCAUGAAUCUGAUGUCAUAUCUGAUCUAGUCACUCAUCACAUCCCUAUCUGCAAGAAAGAUCCCCUGGAUGUGCAGAGGGCCUACAUCUUAGACUACUACAAGAGCUACAACAAGAAAAUCAGCCUGAAAGAUAUCCCAGAAGAAAUGUAUGGUGGUGAUCUGCCUGUGGCCAAAGGCAGAAAAUCUAAAAAGAAGCAGAUCACCAAGGAAGAAUACCUUGCUGAAGAUGCUACUGAGGUGGGUGCUCAGAAGCAUAAGAAAGCUAAGAAGGAAAAAUCUGCUAUGUCCACCAUUCUUGAGGAAGUGGAGGAUUUGGAUGAUGUCCCUCUUAUCAGAAAAAGGACAAGGAGUACUCAAGAAACAGCAGAACAGCCUGCUUCUGAACAAGCUGGUUCAGAACAAGCUGCUUCUGAUCAAGCUGCUUCUGAAAAGCCUCCAAGUCCCAGAAAUAAAAGAGAAGCUGCUCUUCAGACCAUCAAAAGGAAGAGGUCUAAUUUAACAAGAAAUCUGAAGACAGCUGAAGGAAGAAGGGCACAAAUGUUGGAAGAACUGGAAGAGAACUGGGAUGAAGACUCAAGCCCUAAGAAAGCAAAAAGGACUGCAACUUCUGAGCCCAUAGUCAUGCCCAGCUUCGAAAUGACUGAAGAAAUGAAGCAGUAUACUAGGGAGGUUGCUGCAUCCAAGAUAGCAGAGAAGAAAAGGAUGAAGAUUUUGUAUGAAGAAGAAAGGGAUGAACGUCUCAAGGCUGCAGGGUAUGUGCCUACUCCUGACAUUGCUGCUUUAGCAUCGGAGUUAGAAACUGUUAAGUAUGGAGCAACUCUGCUUUCUCAAGCCUUGAAGAAUAAGCAAGCUUCAGGAGCAACUUCAUCAGAACCAGCUUCAGAAGCUCCAGAAGCAGUUCAUCCAGAAGCUCAGUCUUCAGGUAAUCCAUCUAAUGCUCCAACUAAUACUCAGAUUCCAUCUCUACCCUCUUCACCCUCUUCAUCAUCCACAGAAUCAGAUGACCGGCCCCUUAGCCAACAUAUAGACAAGCUUCUUAAAACCAAACCUACCAAACUAACAGAUUUAGGAACACUUGACUGGGAGCAAACUCAAAUAGAAUUUUCUAAGAAUAGAAUUAAACUUUGUGAGAAAUUCAAUUUGCCUCCUACUCAUCCACUCUUUCCAGAUAAUCCUGAACCUGUUAGUGUACAACAACCUCAACCCAACCCAGAACCUACAACAAACUCACCACAUAACUCAACCACACAAAAAGCCUCUGAAGUAGCUUCAGAUGCAACUACUUCAGAAACCCCCCAACACCAAGAAUCCUCAACCCUUCACAACUUAGAAAAACAUCUAGGUGGUGAAAUGCAACCAACACCCACUAAGGCCUCUAAGACAGUUCCUGAAAAGACUGUUUUGGAAACCCAAACAGAAACCCAAACCAUCCCUGAGCAAACUGUUCAGGAGCAAACUGCUUCUGAACAAGUUGCUCCUGACCAAACAACUCCUGACCAUCAAACAACAGAACAACAACAACCAGACUCACCCACUAUAAUAGACUUAACCUCUGACCAACCAACCACAUCAAAUACAACUCAAACUGAACCUUCACCCAUCCCUGACCAUAUCCUAGAGUCUGAGUAUAUAGAGGAACAGCCGAUUAGACUUAGUGAUGAGAUUCAGGCACUGAUUCUUCGCAGAACAGUUCCUGCACCUCCUAUUCACUAUUAUGAUCAGUGGAUAGAUCUUCAGAAGAGCUUUGAUGAGUUGCUGGACCAACUCAGAACCAAAUGUGUGUCAUCUCACUCUGCAAUGCUGAAGAAGCUUUUGGAUGAUAUGCAUGAAGCAGCUAAGGACAAAGAGCUGAAUUAUGUACCUCUUCUGGACAUCACUCCUUUCUAUCCUGAAGAAGAGUAUAUCUCAAGAGCUGCAAGAAUUCAUGCUGGGCAUGUAAGAAGAAUGAGGGAAAAGGAUGAGCUACUUAAGAAGAAAGAUGAACAGAUCAAGUAUCUCUUAGAACAGCUGUAUAAGCAAGCCCAACCUUAGUUGCACACCCAACUCUAGCUUGUUUUUACUUUUGUUCUGUGUAGUCUUAUCUUUGUACCUUAACCUUCAUUUAUAAAUAUUAUCAUUGUUUCUGAAAUAUUAUGUUCUAUUUUUUUUAACUCUAAUGAUAUUUAUUGAUUUUAAUGUCAUAUGCUCUGAUACUUCUUGCUCUGAUACUUAUUAUGUUUUUAUUUGGUUAUAUGCUCUACUACUCUGUCUUUUGUUCUUAUUCUUUUUGUUGAUGACAAAAGGGGGAGUAAAUGUAUAGUAUUUUUAAGGCACUGAGCCCCACUACAACCACUUCUAAAUUUCUUUUAAAUACUUCUGAUUUGAUUUUAUGAGUAUUUUAUUGAAAUUUAAUUAAUAAGAAUAGAACUUAGGGGGAGCUUACAAACCUCACCUUAAGGAUCUAUUAGACUCAGGGGGAGCUUACAAACCUCUAUCCCAGUGGUCAACUUAUUAAUUAGAUCAACAACAAUUGAACAUUUUAAAUACUGUUGUUUGUCAUCAUCAAAAAGGGGGAGAUUGUUGGAACAAAAUGUGUUUCACAAUGAACCUUAUUAAGUUUUGAUGAUAACAAGGUAUUAAAAAUUGUCAAUUGGUUAUUACUAAUAACUGUUCAAGUGUACAGGACCAAAGGCUACUCAAGUUAUUUCAAUAGGUCUUGGAAGAACAAUGGAAAGAAAAAGAAAUUCUGAGCAUCUGAAGAAAACUGCUCCUGAAGCUAAACUGCUCCUGAAGAGAUGACGUCAUCAGAAGCAGAAAGUCAUCAGAAGCAGAAAGUCAUCAGAAGCAAAAGUUUUCAUCAGAAGCAAUAUCUUCACCAGAAGCUACAUUUGAUCCUUUAAUCAAACUGAAGAUUCAAAGUUGCUGAUUCUCAAUUCAGUCUUAUCAAAGAAGAACGAAGAACUGAAAGGGAGGUAUCAACGGAUAUAUGGAUAACACUGAGCACUUGUCUCUCAUUAAUAGAGUUGACAAAGUACAAGUGUACAACCACUACCUCCACUACUCUGUUUUUUGUCUACGCUACAAGACAAAACAACAGCCAUGCCUGCAGAAUUUGUACACUCAAGAUGGGAAUGAAUUUGAAGUUUAUUCUUCAAAGGACUACACCCAAAUCAGGCAAAGGAUCACUGGUGGAUAAUCAAAGGAUUUCAAACGACUCUUUAAACGUGCUGAUUAUCUCAACGUCUCUUUCACGCCUCUAUAUAAAGGAGUGAAGACUUGAAGAUAAAACAGAGAUAUACACAAGUUCAAAAGCGCCAAAACUCUGUCAAUUUGAUACUACAAAGCACACUGAAUUUCUGCACUGAUUUGAUACAUCUUAGAAAUUCAUAGUCUAGAGUCUUUUCUGUAUUGUAUUGUGAACACCACUGAUUGUAUAUCAAGUGUUCAAUUCAAACUCAAUUCUCUGUAUUUUUUGUUUGAUUAGAAGUCUCUUGCCUGUGCUUGAGCAUUAGAAGUCUCUUGCUUAGUGCUUGAGCAUUGGAAGACUCUUGCGUGUGUGCUUGAGCAUAGUUUUGUGAAGUCUCAUACUUAGAAAGUAUUGAGCAGUUGUAAUCUUGUGAUUAUAGUGAAAUCUCCUUGGAAGUGCAAGGGGGACUGGACUACUUCCGUGUUGUGGAAGGAACCAGGAUAACUGCUUGUGUCUUUGUCUUUCUUUUCUCUGCUCUGUUCUUUCCGCUGCAUAUCUGAUUCUGAUCAUUUCAUCAGAAGCACUCUCAAACUGCUUCUGAAGUUUUAUCAGAAGAAGGAUUUUUUUUUAGACAGAAAAAGAAAACACAAUUCAACCCCCCCCUUCUUGUGUUUUUCUCACCUUCAAUCUUUAGGUUGACAAUUUAACUUCACGUUCUUUUGUUAGCCUAUUUUCCCAAAUAUAUCAACCAUUAACCCAAGCCAUGCUACAACCCUGAAAGACCUCAAAGUGUGUAUAUAAUUUGAUCUUGACUUUCUCUUUCGAAUUGUCUCAAAUUUACAGCAAGGUACAUUCAUGUGACGACUAGAGUGGGCAAAUGUCGUGACCAGCCCUACUGGAUCUAGGAGAUACAAACGUGUAACAUGGAAAAGAGUAUGGUUGAUUGUAUGAGCUAUCUUCUCCAAGCUUGUCCUGCUAGAAUGUAACAAGGUAAGUAAAUCAAUGAUGUAAAUGUGAUGAAUGAUGAUCUGAGCAACUCUUCGAAAAGGUAUGUUUUUCCUGAAAAAAUGCAAAGAAUAAAAUUUGUUUUCCUUUCAUUACAUGAGCAUAAGCAACAAUUUAAGUUUCAGAUUGUGAUGGCAGGUCAUCAUAAGUUGUUUUUAGAAUGUUUUUCAGUCACGUUUGAUAAGUUUUACAUCUAGAAUAGAUGAGUAUUAGAGAAAUUGCUUAUGAUUUCGGGACAUUUGGAAUGUUUUCUGUAUUUGAGUCUGCGAUUCUAUUCUUCCCGAAACAUAGUUAUUUUAGGGUGUUUUGAUGUAAUUGACGAAGAAAUCAUGCAAAUCGGCAAUGCAAGACAUCUGAAGAGGGUUGAAGACCUUGGGAAGAUGAAGAAUGAAUAUUCAAGAUGCCUCAUAAGGCUUUACAGAGAGAGGAAUUUUAUUCCCAAGUUCCAAGACAUCUUAUAUGGAAGCAAACACCCAAAAAGACGAAGAAAUAGAUGUUCCGGGGCACAGACAGCAUUCACAUGCACCUGACACACGUUUCCGUGACCUUGGGCACACGAUGAGGCGC